UAAAUCUGACAACGGUGGGCAAAGAACAUGAGAGGAAAUACUGUAUUGAAGGGACCAUAAGCCAGAAAAUAGAAAACCUUUGCAUGUAUAGCUUUGCCUCUGCAUAUACCAUAUUAGCCUUUUAUAUAGACAGUGUAAGCCCUUUAUAUGAACCAAAGUAGUAUGUGUAACACAGGGCCUGUGCCCCUCCCUUCUUGGGGGCUGGUGCUUUUCUCCAGAAUGUUCUGAGGAGAGAAGAAAGCUCAGAGUAAACAUGUGAGGUCACAGAUACCACUUGUGCCAAAAUAGGUGUGGAAGGUGAGGAAGACCAUCAGCAAUUGGUCAAUUUUAGAUAAGCCAAGAUAUAUAUUCUUUGUUAACUGCAACACACUUUACAGUGGCUAUUUGCAUGGUACAGACCUUUGUGGGUGUGUACAGCUGUUUUGCCUUCUCAUAGCUAUGAUGGAAAUAAUUUUGCUUUUUGUGCUCUCACGAGAUUGGUUUUUCUGCCUGAUUGCUUCCAGGGCCGGAACCUUUGAAGACAAGUGGGAGCAGUUUCUGCAACAUGUGAUGGCAUAGGUCUCUAGCAUUUUCUGUUUGCUGGUUGCCUUGGAAAACAAUAAGAAAGGGAGAGUAUGAAGGCAAAGGCCAUUCACUAUCUGCAUCCAGUCCUGAACUUUCAUCAAAUGACAGCAAAAGCUUCUUCUUUGAAGACAUCAUCCACCAAAUCUACCCUUUCUGAUGUAUUAAUAGCAAUUCCAAGCUACCGGUAUUCAAUACUAAAAAAAUCUUGCCGAGUUUUGUUUGGACCACAGGGAAAUAGUAUCAAUUUCUAUGAAAUGUGUUGGAUUUUAUUUACCUUACAUGUACCCACAUUGUAAAUAAUGCAUAAUUUAUAUGUAUUUUAUAGAAAUGUUUUAAUACGUAUCUUUUAUAGAACUACAUUUUAAUAUGUGUGUUUAUAGAAUUUUUGCAGUUUGUGCAAUUUGAUUGUGCUGUGACCUGCCUUGAGAAGAGGCGGGUAAGAAAUAAAAUUAUUAUGUUGGCUUCUAGCAUGCUUGUGUUUCCGGCACAGGGACUCUUUUAUAUGGUUUUCUACAUGCAUUUCAAAUAGACAUAUUUUUGCCACGGGAUCUGUAUGUACAGCUGUGCAUGAACAAUGCACAAGUUUAUACAUUCUGGAAAAGGUUUUUUUUUAAAAGCCUCUUAUUCAGAAGUGGUUGACUAUGGUGGCUCUACAGCCCCUCUGGAGCUACAGGGACUGCUCAAAAUAUCAAAAUUGAAGAGUGACUGUGAAUCCAUUUCCAGCAUGUUUGAGAUUUGGGUUACUGUGAGUUUUAGGUCUGUUCAACCCGCGGCCCAUGGGCUGCAUGCAGAAUCAUAAACUUACUUUAACCAUUUAUGAGAAUUUUUUUGGCUUUUUUUUGUAACUUAAUUGCGCAGUUCUUGAGUUGAACUUUGUAGAUGGGAAUGAAAUAGCACUAUGUAACAUGAUUUUUGUUGCUGGGUUAUAAAUGUCAUUUCCUAAUUGUUUCAAUCAUAAAAAAACAUGGAAAACGUUUAUUGUGUUUCUGUUUGUAGGAAGCCAUGCAAAAGGUGCUCUGCCCUUCCUGUUUUGCAGGAAGGUGGAAAAAAGGAUCAUAUGGGGAGCCUGGAAAGGUACAAAACAAGCAAAAAAGGUUUGGGGGCAUGACUUGACUUUCUCCAUUCACAGAAGGAAGAAAGAAAGAUUUUAGCCAUGGCUGGGCUUUCAGGCUUUAAUGGCUGGAAACACGGAGUUGCUAUGAGUUUUCCAGGCUGUAUGGCCAUGUUCCAAAAGCAUUCUCUCCUGACAUUUCGCCCACAUCCAUAGCAGGAAUCCUCAGAGAUUGUGAGGUCUGUUUGAAACAAGGCAAGUGGGUUUUAUAUAUCUGUAGAAUGUCCAGGGUGGGAGAAAGAACAAGUGUGAAUGUCGCUACUGGCCACCUUGAUUAGCAUUGAAUGGCCUUGCAGCUUCAAAGCCUGUCUGCUUCCUGCUUGGGAGAAUCCUUUGUUGGGACAUUCCAAAGAUAUAUUAACCUCACUUGCCUAGUUUCCAACACACCCCACAACCUCUGAGGAUGCCUGUCAUAGAUGUAGGUGAAACGUCAGGAGAGAAUGCUUCUGGGACAUGGCCAUACAGCCUAGAAAACUCACAGUAACCCAACGUUCAUACUGUUGGGGUGGUCAGAAAGGAAUUGAAUGUACAGAUGGAAGGUCUACUGUUUCAGUGGGUACACAGAGGGUAGAAGUGGGUUUUCCUCUAAUAUAGUUAUGCAGUUGUAAAAUGUUUCACUUUUGAGCACUCUGCUGGAGAAAUGUAUGUUCAGAAAACGUAUACAGAGACAAAGAAGUAGCAGCAAAUUUCUGAAUCGGGUUAGAAUUGCUGGCAAUUCUAAUUCAAACCAGAGAUAAUUAGCAUUCUUGAAAAGGGGACACAAACAGGACAUUAACAAAAGCCACAGAAAUACUAAGCAAGGCAGUAAUAUAUAUUACAUUAAAAAUACUACAUUUGUUAAAUUUCUCUAUUACAAUAAGUCUGUGCGUUAUUUUUUUCCAAUGUCAUCUCUGCAAGCUCACACACAAAUAAAAAAAAUUCACACUAUAGUUAAGCAUGUAUUCAAGGUGAAAGAACAUAAUUGAGAAAAUUAGCCUUUAAUCUCUAAAUCACAGCACUCCAUAGUAGGUUAUCAACCUGUCUAAUUUUCCCUGUCACAUCUCCCUGGCAUACAGCGAAAGCACUUAAACGCAGCGGAUUUCCAGACCUUAAAAUCAUGCAGGCUCAAGGUAUUAAGCGAGUUUUUGGUUUAGUAUUUCCCUGAGUCUUGAAGCCUCAGAAAUGCUUUGUACAAAAAUAACAUUUGAUCUCUUUGGAAUCAAGUUAUAACAGAUAGCUUUAGUUAUAUAAGCAAAAAAUACAGACAUUUACUUCAUUUUUUCAAAACAAAGAAGGCAAACAGCUGAAUAAAAAUUAUAUGAAAACAGUUAAAUGCAAGAAUUUGCUUUUUACAUAAAACCAGGUUUAAAAUUUGAGAAGGCUUAAUGGCUCAUAGCCUCUCUCAUAAUGUUAUUUAUGAGAAACUACUAUUAUGAAUGAAAGCCUGAGGAGAACUCCAAUUGUCUUGGCAAGAUUAGCCGGCUAAGGAAUUUAGAAACUCAGUUCUCCAACCCCAAAGUCACAGAGCUAAUGUUUCAUAUUGCAUUCUUUAUUUUAUUGUUUAUCCUUAGUUCUUCACCAUCCUUAGAAAACGCUUUAACUAAAACAUGAGUGGUUUCAUAACUUGUUCGGUUGUGAGUGAUACAUUUAAUCAGUCCCAAAUGUUGAAUUGAUU
RNAcentral lists this long non-coding RNA (3329 nucleotides) under Anolis carolinensis (green anole). RNAcentral's name for it is "lncRNA (ENSACAG00000008982.4)". Lineage: Eukaryota; Metazoa; Chordata; Lepidosauria; Squamata; Anolidae. The record is from RNAcentral.